AGAGUUUGAUCCUGGCUCAGAUUGAACGCUGGCGGCAUGCCUUACACAUGCAAGUCGAACGGCAGCACGGGAGCUUGCUCCUGGUGGCGAGUGGCGAACGGGUGAGUAAUAUAUCGGAACGUACCCUAGAGUGGGGGAUAACGCAGCGAAAGUUGCGCUAAUACCGCAUACGAUCUACGGAUGAAGGUGGGGGAUCGCAAGACCACAUGCUCAUGGACCGGCCGAUAUCUGAUUAGCUAGUUGGUGGGGUAAAGGCCUACCAAGGCAUCGAUCAGUAGCUGGUCUGAGAGGACGACCAGCCACACUGGAACUGAGACACGGUCCAGACUCCUACGGGAGGCAGCAGUGGGGAAUUUUGGACAAUGGGGGCAACCCUGAUCCAGCAGUGCCGCGUGAGUGAAGAAGGCCUUCGGGUUGUAAAGCUCUUUUGUCAGGGAAGAAACGGUGAGGGCUAAUAUCCUUUGCUAAUGACGGUACCUGAAGAAUAAGCACCGGCUAACUACGUGCCAGCAGCCGCGGUAAUACGUAGGGUGCAAGCGUUAAUCGGAAUUACUGGGCGUAAAGCGUGCGCAGGCGGUUAUGUAAGUCAGAUGUGAAAUCCCCGGGCUCAACCUGGGAAUGGCAUUUGAGACUGCAUGGCUAGAGUGUGUCAGAGGGGGGUAGAAUUCCACGUGUAGCAGUGAAAUGCGUAGAGAUGUGGAGGAAUACCGAUGGCGAAGGCAGCCCCCUGGGAUAACACUGACGCUCAUGCACGAAAGCGUGGGGAGCAAACAGGAUUAGAUACCCUGGUAGUCCACGCCCUA
RNAcentral lists this ribosomal RNA (803 nucleotides) under uncultured bacterium. RNAcentral's name for it is "bacterial SSU rRNA". It matches the Rfam family "Bacterial small subunit ribosomal RNA", at positions 8 to 804 of the family's 1533-position model. The record is from RNAcentral.